This 284-nucleotide long non-coding RNA is filed under the name Phoenix dactylifera (date palm). Its description in RNAcentral is "long non-coding RNA (PDAC_LNC004226)". Lineage: Eukaryota; Viridiplantae; Streptophyta; Magnoliopsida; Arecales; Arecaceae. The record is from RNAcentral.
UGCAAACAAGUUUAUCAAUAUCUUAAUGGUGUAUGACUUAGGAUUAAAUAAAAGAAACUUGAUGUAAUGCCAACUGAAGUGGAUAUCACUUACUAGAAGACUAACCAAAGUCCAGUAAGGUCCAUGAGUUGGGCUUGGUAUCUCCUGAUGCAUGACCAAUUAGGCAGAGUAGAAAAAGGAGUACCUAGUAUCUCUGCAUGACCAAGUGGCUCAUGGCAGGGGUAUUGGCCAUUUCUGGGGUAGUCCAUAGAUACAUUAUCCAUCUAGUCGUCGCAUCCUACCCC